CCCUUAGAUGUUCUGGGCCGCACGCGCGCUACACUGAUGAAUGCAACGAGCUCUACCCUUGACCGAAAGGCCCGGGUAAACUUGUGAAACUUCAUCGUGAUGGGGAUAGAUUAUUGCAAUUAUUAAUCUUCAACGAGGAAUUCCUAGUAAGCGCGAGUCAUCAGCUCGCGUUGAUUACGCCCCUGCCCUUUGUACACACCGCCCGUCGCUCCUACCGAUUGAAUGGUCCGGUGAAUCUUUAGGACUGUGGCUGAGGCCUUGCCUUGUGCGGGUCUGGCCGUGGGAAUUUAGUUAAACCUUACCAUUUAGAGGAAGGUGAAGUCGUAACA
This 329-nucleotide ribosomal RNA is filed under the name uncultured eukaryote. RNAcentral's name for it is "partial 18S ribosomal RNA". It matches the Rfam family "Eukaryotic small subunit ribosomal RNA", at positions 1470 to 1796 of the family's 1831-position model. The record is from RNAcentral.